GGUGAUGUAGCUUAGCUGGUCAAAGCAGUCGACUCAUAAUCGACCGAGCGUAGGUUCGACUCCUGCCAUCACCACCA
This 77-nucleotide transfer RNA is filed under the name Sulfuritalea sp. RNAcentral's name for it is "tRNA-Ile". It matches the Rfam family "tRNA". From Rfam's summary of the family: Transfer RNA (tRNA) molecules are approximately 80 nucleotides in length. Their secondary structure includes four short double-helical elements and three loops (D, anti-codon, and T loops). The record is from RNAcentral. Lineage: Bacteria; Pseudomonadati; Pseudomonadota; Betaproteobacteria; Nitrosomonadales; Sterolibacteriaceae.